This 482-nucleotide ribosomal RNA is filed under the name uncultured bacterium. RNAcentral describes it as "partial 16S ribosomal RNA". It matches the Rfam family "Bacterial small subunit ribosomal RNA", at positions 30 to 507 of the family's 1533-position model. The record is from RNAcentral.
AUUGAACGCUGGCGGCAUGCCUUACACAUGCAAGUCGAACGGUAACAGGUCUUCGGAUGCUGACGAGUGGCGAACGGGUGAGUAAUACAUCGGAACGUGCCCGAUCGUGGGGGAUAACGGAGCGAAAGCUUUGCUAAUACCGCAUACGAUCUACGGAUGAAAGCAGGGGACCGCAAGGCCUUGCGCGGACGGAGCGGCCGAUGGCAGAUUGGGUAGUUGGUGGGAUAAAAGCUUACCAAGCCGACGAUCUGUAGCUGGUCUGAGAGGAAGACCAGCCACACUUGGACUGAGACACGGCCCAGACUCCUACGGGAGGCAGCAGUGGGGAAUUUUGGACAAUGGGCGAAAGCCUGAUCCAGCCAUGCCGCGUGCAGGAUGAAGGCCUUCGGGUUGUAAACUGCUUUUGUACGGAACGAAAAGACUCUUUCUAAUAAAGAGGGUCCAUGACGGUACCGUAAGAAUAAGCACCGGCUAACUACGUG